UUCUGGCUCAGGAUGAACGCUGGCGGCGUGCCUAACACAUGCAAGUCGAACGAGCACUUCGGUGCGAGUGGCGGACGGGUGAGUAACGCGUGGGUAACCUGCCUUACACAGGGGGACAACAGUUGGAAACGACUGCUAAUACCGCAUAAGCCCACGGGACCGCAUGGUUCUGUGAGAAAAGAUUUAUCGGUGUAAGAUGGACCCGCGUCUGAUUAGAUAGUUGGUGGGGUAACGGCCUACCAAGUCGACGAUCAGUAGCCGACCUGAGAGGGUGAUCGGCCACAUUGGGACUGAGACACGGCCCAAACUCCUACGGGAGGCAGCAGUGGGGAAUAUUGCGCAAUGGGGGGAACCCUGACGCAGCAACGCCGCGUGAGUGAAGAAGUAUUUCGGUAUGUAAAGCUCUACCAGCGGGGACGAACAAGGACGGUACCCGCAGAAGAAGUCCCGGCUAACUACGUGCCAGCCGCCGC
RNAcentral lists this ribosomal RNA (473 nucleotides) under uncultured bacterium. RNAcentral's name for it is "bacterial SSU rRNA". It matches the Rfam family "Bacterial small subunit ribosomal RNA", at positions 17 to 518 of the family's 1533-position model. The record is from RNAcentral.